CCCUUAGAUGUCCUGGGCUGCACGCGCGCUACACUGAUGUGUCCAGUAAGCACCUAACCUCUUCCGUAAGGAACGGGUAACCUUUGCAAAGCACAUCGUGAUGGGGAUAGAUUAUUGCAAUUAUUAGUCUUGAACGAGGAAUUCCUAGUAAGCACAAGUCAUCAGCUUGUGUUGAUUACGUCCCUGCCCUUUGUACACACCGCCCGUCGCUCCUACCGAUUGAAUGUUCCGGUGAGCUCUUCGGACUGCGCGGUCUGCAGUUUCUGCGUUCCGUGCGGAAAGUUGCGCAAACCUUAACAUUUAGAGGAAGGAGAAGUCGUAACA
Molecule: ribosomal RNA, 324 nt
Filed under: uncultured eukaryote
Lineage: Eukaryota
Description: partial 18S ribosomal RNA
Rfam family: Eukaryotic small subunit ribosomal RNA
Source: RNAcentral